AGUGAACGCUGGCGGCAGGCCUAACACAUGCAAGUCGAGCGGCAGCGCGGUGUAGCAAUACACUGGCGGCGAGCGGCGGACGGGUGAGGAAUGCGUCGGAAUCUGCCUCUUUGUGGGGGAUAACGUAGGGAAACUUACGCUAAUACCGCAUACGACCUACGGGUGAAAGUGGGGGACCGCAAGGCCUCACGCAGAGAGAUGAGCCGACGCCGGAUUAGCUAGUUGGCGGGGUAAAGGCCCACCAAGGCGACGAUCCGUAGCUGGUCUGAGAGGAUGAUCAGCCACACUGGAACUGAGACACGGUCCAGACUCCUACGGGAGGCAGCAGUGGGGAAUAUUGGACAAUGGGCGCAAGCCUGAUCCAGCCAUGCCGCGUGUGUGAAGAAGGCCUUCGGGUUGUAAAGCACUUUUGUCCGGAAAGAAAAGCAUUCGGUUAAUAACCGGGUGUCAUGACGGUACCGGAAGAAUAAGCACCGGCUAACUUCGUGCCAGCAGCCGCCGUAACAC
This 507-nucleotide ribosomal RNA is filed under the name uncultured bacterium. RNAcentral describes it as "bacterial SSU rRNA". It matches the Rfam family "Bacterial small subunit ribosomal RNA", at positions 29 to 526 of the family's 1533-position model. The record is from RNAcentral.